UAAAGUUGAAAUCAUAAUUUUACUAUUCUUAAAAAAAACCAAUUUUACUUCAUCAAACAGGAGGGAGAAAGAUUAUUUUCUCUUCCUGACUUUUUCUUCCUCUAUUUUCUAUACAUGUAUUUUUGUCCUCCCUUAUUUCUUCACAGAGAGUAAACUUCAGACCUCCCUGUCACUUGAUUUGUAAUUUGUAAACUAAAGUUUCACCAAAAGUAUACUUUUGUAGAACUAGGUUUUAAGUGUCUCAAAA
This 247-nucleotide unclassified non-coding RNA is filed under the name Hevea brasiliensis (rubber tree). Lineage: Eukaryota; Viridiplantae; Streptophyta; Magnoliopsida; Malpighiales; Euphorbiaceae. The record is from RNAcentral.